This 253-nucleotide ribosomal RNA is filed under the name uncultured bacterium. RNAcentral describes it as "partial 16S ribosomal RNA". It matches the Rfam family "Bacterial small subunit ribosomal RNA", at positions 524 to 776 of the family's 1533-position model. The record is from RNAcentral.
UACGGGGGGGGCCAGCGUUGUUCGGAAUCAUUGGGCGUAAAGGGCGCGUAGGCGGCUUUGUAAGUCCGUUGUGAAAUCCCUCGGCUCAACCGAGGAACUGCGACGGAUACUGCUUGGCUUGAGUCCCGGAGAGGGUAGCGGAAUUCCCAGUGUAGCGGUGAAAUGCGUAGAUAUUGGGAGGAACAUCGGUGGCGAAGGCGGCUACCUGGACGGGUACUGACGCUGAGGCGCGAAAGCUAGGGGAGCAAACAGG